CCUACGGGUGGCAGCAGUGAGGAAUAUUGGUCAAUGGACGAGAGUCUGAACCAGCCAAGUAGCGUGAAGGAUGACUGCCCUAUGGGUUGUAAACUUCUUUUAUAAAGGGAUAAAACGAGGCACGUGUGCCUUUUUGCAUGUACUUUACGAAUAAGGAUCGGCUAACUCCGUGCCAGCAGCCGCGGUAAUACGGAGGAUCCGAGCGUUAUCCGGAUUUAUUGGGUUUAAAGGGAGCGUAGAUGGGUUGAUAAGUCAGUUGUGAAAGUUUGGGGCUUAACCGUAAAAUUGCAAUUGAUACUGGCAGUCUUGAGUACAGAUGCGGUAGGCGGAAUGUGUGGUGUAGCGGUGAAAUGCUUAGAUAUCACGAAGAACCCCGAUUGCGAAGGCAGCUUACUAAACUGUGUCUGACAUUGAUGCACGAAAGUGUGGGUAGCAAACAGGAUUAGAUACCCUUGUAGUC
RNAcentral lists this ribosomal RNA (460 nucleotides) under uncultured bacterium. RNAcentral describes it as "partial 16S ribosomal RNA". It matches the Rfam family "Bacterial small subunit ribosomal RNA", at positions 338 to 795 of the family's 1533-position model. The record is from RNAcentral.